RNAcentral lists this ribosomal RNA (253 nucleotides) under uncultured bacterium. RNAcentral's name for it is "partial 16S ribosomal RNA". It matches the Rfam family "Bacterial small subunit ribosomal RNA", at positions 524 to 776 of the family's 1533-position model. The record is from RNAcentral.
UACAUGGGGUGCAAACGUUGCUCGGAAUUAUUGGGCGUAAAGCGCACGUAGGCGGUUUGUUAAGUCGGAUGUGAAAUCCCUCGGCUCAACCGGGGAACUGCGUCUGAUACUGGGUGGCUUGAAUCCGGGAGAGGGAUGCGGAAUUCCAGGUGUAGCGGUGAAAUGCGUAGAUAUCUGGAGGAACACCGGUGGCGAAGGCGGCAUCCUGGACCGGCAUUGACGCUGAGGCGCGAAAGCUAGGGGAGCAAACGGG